This is a long non-coding RNA of Brassica napus (rape), 528 nucleotides long. RefSeq lists it as uncharacterized. The record is from RefSeq and is a predicted model, not a curated record. NCBI's taxonomy places the organism in Eukaryota, Viridiplantae, Streptophyta, Magnoliopsida, Brassicales, Brassicaceae. The transcript has 2 exons.
CUUUCAAAACCAAAUAGUUUGAAUAAAUCAUUUAGUACACAGCAAAUAGUGGACUGCACUAUUAGUGUAUAUCCAUAUUAGAUAAGUACGAUAGAUAGUUAUCUGUAGUUAUCUAUAACUAUUGUUGUUAUCCUUAGAUUGGGUCUUAUCAAAGAUCUUCUAAGGCUUGUAUAUAAACGCUCUUAAGCAGUCAAUGAGAAUACACUUGAAACCUAUCUUACAUGGUAUCAGAGCAGUAGUCAUCUUCUUCAGAUUUGUAGUGCUGACUAGAAUCAGGUACGGACUAGCACGUUACUGGGCGAUCUUGUUCGUCUUCUAGUUUCUAGUGUUUGGCAUCUGGGCAUCGCGUUCUCACGCUCACGCUUCCACUUGAACAUUCUUCUUCAUCCUCAUUCUCCUGGUUUGUUUGUGUUACUCUUUUGUUUUUGUAUGUCUCUGUCAAUAUCGUUUACAUCUUUCUAUUAGAAGAAGAAAAAUGUACAAUUAUUUGUUCCCAUAAAAAAAAGAAACUGUUCUGUCUCUCUGUUA